This 388-nucleotide ribosomal RNA is filed under the name uncultured bacterium. RNAcentral describes it as "bacterial SSU rRNA". It matches the Rfam family "Bacterial small subunit ribosomal RNA", at positions 28 to 417 of the family's 1533-position model. The record is from RNAcentral.
GACGAACGCUGGCGGCGUGCUUAACACAUGCAAGUCGAGCGGUAAGGCCCUUUCGGGGGUACACGAGCGGCGAACGGGUGAGUAACACGUGGGUGACCUGCCCUCAUCUCUGGGAUAAGCCUGGGAAACUGGGUCUAAUACUGGAUAUGACUCCACGGUGCAUGUCGUGGGGUGGAAAGCCUUGUGCGGCUGAGGAUGGGCCCGCGGCCUAUCAGCUUGUUGGUGGGGUGAUGGCCUACCAAGGCGACGACGGGUAGCCGGCCUGAGAGGGCGACCGGCCACACUGGGACUGAGACACGGCCCAGACUCCUACGGGAGGCAGCAGUGGGGAAUCUUGCGCAAUGGGCGAAAGCCUGACGCAGCGACGCCGCGUGAGGGAUGACGGCCU